Molecule: ribosomal RNA, 253 nt
Filed under: uncultured bacterium
Lineage: Bacteria
Description: partial 16S ribosomal RNA
Rfam family: Bacterial small subunit ribosomal RNA
Source: RNAcentral
UACGUAGGGGGCGAGCGUUAUCCGGAUUCACUGGGUGUAAAGGGAGCGUAGACGGCCAUGCAAGCCAGGGGUGAAAGCCCGGGGCCCAACCCCGGGACUGCCCUUGGAACUGCGUGGCUGGAGUGCGGGAGGGGCAGGCGGAAUUCCUGGUGUAGCGGUGAAAUGCGUAGAUAUCAGGAGGAACACCGGCGGCGAAGGCGGCCUGCUGGACCGCGACUGACGUUGAGGCUCGAAAGCGUGGGGAGCGAACAGG